Non-coding RNA from Plutella xylostella (diamondback moth), 1909 nucleotides. The record is from RefSeq and is a predicted model, not a curated record. Lineage: Eukaryota; Metazoa; Arthropoda; Insecta; Lepidoptera; Plutellidae.
GAUAUACUCAUAAAUGGGGUAGAAUGUAUCCGUAUUCUUGAGAAGAUCCUGAAUAGAGCGCGGGACAUCCAGGGCUUCUUUGUAUAAAUCCAGUAAAUUGUCAAUAAGAAUAAUCCUUUGUAGAUUAAAUGCAGAGCAAUCAAAAAAUAUAUGAUCCAGGGAUUGAAUUAUAUCGUUAUUACAGUAUGUGCAAUUUGGGGAAGGUAUCAUUUUUAAUCUAAAAAGGUGUUCAUUGAAUCUGCCAUGUCCAAGUCUUAAACGACAAAUAGUUGAAUAAAAGUUUCUGUUUAUAAAUUUUCCUUUGAUGAACCAGGGUUGAGUAAUGUCGGAGUUGAUAGAGCUAUACCAUUUUCCUUUACUUUGGAUUGUUUCAUGCCAAUGAGUCAUCCAUUGGUCUUUUAUAAUAUUCUUGAUUAAAACUUUGCAGUCUGAACCUGGCAACUUAAUAUUUUUAAUAGGUAUUUGUUGGAUAUUGGGAUUUUUUACUAUGGAGCUGGCAAGUUUAUCAGCGAGGUCAUUACCCGAAACGUCAAUGUGUGAAGGUGUCCAAAUAAAGCGGAUUUCUCUGUCUUGAUUGAGCCAAAGCCUGCUAUAAAUCUGCCUGAUGUUGUAUAUGAUGUAAUUUGUGCCACUACUAUAAGAAGGAUUUGAUAAAGCCAUUAAUACACUCAUGCUGUCCGAAAUGAUCAACCAUUUCUUGAAAUUAAGGUAUUCCCAAAGAAGAAAGAGUUGUACAUAAAACUUAAUGGUUAAUGUUAUUAAAUGCGCCUACAAUAUCAAAAAAGAUACAUAUAAGGUGUUUAUUACUGUUAAUGGCAGUGUUAAUAUCAUGGAAGAGAUGACCUAUACUUUCUCUUGCUGAUCGACCACGACGAAACCCAAAUUGAUUUCUUGGAAGGAUAUGAUUUCUUUCAAUAUAAAACUCAAGACGCUGUUUUAUUAGUUGCUCAAAGAGUUUGCCUGAACAGGAUGUUAAAGCUAUUGGACGAGUCCAGGACAUCUCUUCCACGAGCACUGACGGAUUGACAGCCCCAAAUGGUGUGAUGAGCAUUAAAAUCGCCUGAUACAAAACAUGGUUUAGAUGGAGCAGCGUUCCGAGUUCUUACAAAACUUUGCUAAAUGGCCAUACCUGAGACACCGGAAACAUUGCUUGACUGGAGGAACAUACGCUGUAAUAUCAUGCCGCCAACCGUCCAAGUCGACGUAGUCUGGAAGUACUGACGUCGCGAAGGUGAUGGCUACAGUCUGCAGGGGCUGUAGAAUAAAAUUGUUGUCAAUCUUUGUCCUCUUUGUAAAUCUCCUUACAGAUAUGAUCUUCUUGUAACUAGACAGCAUGGUGAAGAUUUUUUUGUUUGUCAGAUUGGUAGGCACAUUUUUAAUAAUACCAGUAAUUUCUGUGCUUUGUGCUGGUAUAUUAGCCUUAAAUUGAUAAUCCUUUAGGAACGUGGAGUUGUUCAAAAAGGCAUUUGCAAGGCUGGCCUUUUCAAAAUAUAUUGCAAUUUUAAAUUUGUUCAUUGAUCUCAGGUAUUUUACACCUUUGUUGAAUCUUUUAAUGCAACUCGAUAUGGACAUAAGGUCUCUUGUUCCAAUGGGCAUCUCCGCAUUGGAGGACUCUACGAAAACAACAAACUCUGCAGCUCCGGAAUCGUCUGGGUAACGCCUCUUGUAAUCUGUUACUAAAUAAGGUUUUGAAAUAUCUAAAACUUCAACCUCAGAUUCGGACGACGUCGUUUCUACGUCGGACUUAUCACCCUCAUCAUCCUUCUUCCUUUUUUUUCUUGUUCUCACCUUCCUCAUUGCUAUUUUUUAAUUUAUUAUGUAUGCAACAAACUUUUUAUUGGUUUUUAUUAGUAAUUUACGUAUUUGCAGUAGUUUUAAUGAAUAUUAUUAAUAAAUUUUUCGAAAAUCC